UCAUGCUUAAAUAUUGUCGGUUCUGAUGGGGACCAGCCAUCAGACGUAAGGGGGAAAGUCCGGCGUAAAUCCGGCGCUGUCCCGCAGCUGUGAGGAGAGACACAACUCUCGAAGUCAGAAUGCCCGCCGAACUGUCUCCUCUGGA
Molecule: non-coding RNA, 145 nt
Filed under: Limnospira platensis
Lineage: Bacteria; Bacillati; Cyanobacteriota; Cyanophyceae; Oscillatoriales; Sirenicapillariaceae
Source: RNAcentral